UACGAAGGGGGCUAGCGUUGCUCGGAAUUACUGGGCGUAAAGCGCGUGUAGGCUGCUCAGAAAGUCGGAUGUGAAAGCCCUGGGCUUAACCUAGGAAGUGCAUUCGAAACUUCUGAGCUUGAGUUCUGGAGAGGAAGGCGGAAUUCUCGGUGUAGAGGUGAAAUUCGUAGAUAUCGAGAGGAACACCGGUGGCGAAGGCGGCCUUCUGGACAGUGACUGACGCUGAGACGCGAAAGCGUGGGGAGCAAACAGG
This 253-nucleotide ribosomal RNA is filed under the name uncultured bacterium. RNAcentral's name for it is "partial 16S ribosomal RNA". It matches the Rfam family "Bacterial small subunit ribosomal RNA", at positions 524 to 776 of the family's 1533-position model. The record is from RNAcentral.